AGACUACUCAAGAUAAUAUACAACCACCAUUCACAGAGAGGAAAUCAACAUUUUCAACCUAUGGACACAUCAUGAAAAAUACAAACAAACAUUCAAACUUUGGUGCUUUUAUCUUGUGACGAACAAAUGGAAUAGAGAGUAUAACAAUGCUCGUGUAUGAUCAGACUGAUUUUGUCCCUAAAAAUCAAGUAUUGAUGACUUGUCAUGAUUGGGUUAUAGAUCUUUCAAUUCAAAUGUCAAAAUAUGCAACGACAAUUUCUUUGUAAGCUGAAAAUAUCAG
Molecule: long non-coding RNA, 280 nt
Filed under: Mytilus galloprovincialis (Mediterranean mussel)
Lineage: Eukaryota; Metazoa; Mollusca; Bivalvia; Mytilida; Mytilidae
Source: RNAcentral